UAGAGGAGACCAGAGUUGCAUUUUGGGUAGUUCAAAACCAAAAAACAGGACUGGGAUCACUUUGAUAUUUGAUCAGAUCAGGAAAUUAAAUUAAAUUUUAAUCUGGAUCUCAUCCUCAAAACAGCUUGUGGUGAAUGUGCAUCCUGAAGAUGGGAGGCAGGCUUAGUGACACCCUGAAUACUGCUGUCUCCUCCAUUGUGUUGCUGUCCAGCUGUGAGACAAAGCAGAGGUCAGCCAGGACCAUCAGCUUCCUGUCCACUUUACAAAACCUCUGUGAGAAGGAGGAGGACCAAGGGUAGCUCUGAGAUUCUGAUUGCCUGCUGUGUCUGAUAUCUCCUCCCCAACCUCUCUCUUGUGGAUCUCCCAGCUGUAGAUGUUAACUAGCGCUGACCUUGGACUGUAUUAUUGACCUGAUGUUGA
Monopterus albus (swamp eel) is the source of this 420-nucleotide long non-coding RNA. RefSeq lists it as uncharacterized. NCBI's taxonomy places the organism in Eukaryota, Metazoa, Chordata, Actinopteri, Synbranchiformes, Synbranchidae. The transcript has 3 exons. The record is from RefSeq and is a predicted model, not a curated record.